GCUUGUAAUUAUUAUCUUGCUCCCUAAUUUCCACACAUUCCAUCAUGUUCUUCACAUUCAUUAACUAUUGUAUGCUGGCCAGAUAAUGAAAUAACUAUUGUAUGCUGGCCAGAUCAAUGAAACAGGGGGCGGGGAGUGCAUUCGUGUGGGACCCAAGCACAUGGGCCGCGGGAUCCUACAUGCCAGCAGCCGCCCGACACGAACCCCUGCCCGAUUUACGCCUGUCUCUGCUUGCUAUUCAAGUCUGAGACCCUGCUGGACAUUCCACAUUCCCCACCAAAGCGUAUCUAUUCUUGAGGUUUAUGCAAUCCAGAUGGGACAAUGGACUGUGGAUGGUGGAUGGUGGAUGGUGGAUGGUGGAGUAUUGCCUGACUAAUAAAAUAAAUUAAGCUAAGUAAACGUAUGGUCCUAGGGAUCUGGAAUUAGCUCUUGAAUCCGAAACUGCAAGAUUGAUUGGGCGAUUCGUUCGUUCUUUCCCAAAGAACUUCCAAAUUGGAUCAAAUGCAGCUAUUAAGGUGGAAGGAUGAUUUGUUUAACUAUCUAAUCUAAAUAUCAUUAUAAUAAUCCAUAUUAUCAGGCUUUGAUCACCGUUCUCAGUUGGACACGGGUGGGCUAGAAGUUUGGCUAUUAAAAAAGUUUAUUUCAAUUGGCAUUUGUUCUUUAAGGGUUUUUUUAAUCCUUUAAAGCAGUAACUAUGUGAGGAAGAACUAUACUUCCUCUGUGGAAUGAGAGGGAUACUUUUAAGUAUAUUAAAAUUGGCAACUUCUUAACCAAGAAGAUCUGGCAGCACUGCAAAUUUUGGUUGAUGGGUGUUCAAAGUGGGUUUAUCAUCUCUUUGGGCUCAGUUAAGGGCUUCAUGUUACCAUCAAGAAAAACAGAAAUACAGCUUGGCAUCAGCAUUGUAUGCCCUGGAGAAGGUAGACUUACUAUGAAAUUACUUUUGCUCGUGGUGAUAUAUGCAACAAUGCUUUAACCAAUUUUAUCCAAAACAUCAUAGUCUAGUGAGUAUUUUUAGAUUAGUAUUGUAAGGAUGCGAUUUCCACUUCCCUUCUUGUCAAACAAAGAAAUCAAUUUGAACCACUAGUUAUCCAGGAGUAUGGCAUAUAUUUACUUAUGUUAUUGAUUAUAGCUAACGGUGUUAUAUAUCUCAUACAUGGGAAGCGAAACAUUGUAGGUUGAUUAAACUUUCAAUAUAAAUGUUCCUCAAGCCAUGCUAUCAUUUACCAUUCAGUUCACUCACAUUUUGGGGUCCUUGAUGGUGCGCAAUGAUCUGUAACCCAUAGCCGUCAUUGUUAAUGCAUUUUGAAUUGUGGGCUGCAUAGCUAUCUCCUGCUGCCUUUCUGUAGAGCACGAACAUUGGUAUGCUGCGCCAAAUGGGAAAAUCAUCCAUUUGGGCUUGCAAGUAUUUUUAUUUGCUUUAUGUUAUAGACAUGGAGUGCAGACUCCAAGGUACUUGGAGCAAUGCUAUGUUCAUACAGAGAGUUGCUGCUGCCAUCUGACAUGGAUGCUUCACUUCUAUUCAGUGUCCCUUGAAGUAUCACCUACCAUAGCUGCUUCAAGAUGUACAUGCAUCAGGUGGCUGAUGUGGUUCAUUAAUUCCAAGAUGGGCUGUCUUGUUGGAUCGAGGAUCACCAAUUGGAAGGGUAAUGUUGUUCAUUGAUUGCAAGAUGGGUUUUAUUUGUCAGAUUGAGGAUCAUCAAUUGAAUGGUUGAUGUGGUGUUAGUGAUUUCCAAUGUAUAUCAGAUCUUUUAUUGAUUGAAGUUCUAGAAGUUUCCAAGCAGUUGAGAGUUGUUGAAAGCAAGCUGAUAUAAAGAUAACCGUGUAACCAUUUGAGGACAUCUUCUAGCAAUUGAACAGACACCUUCAUAUGUGUUUGUAAGUGGGAUCUUUUGUUGGGUGCAUACUGAUGUACUUGGGUCUGAGGAACUGAGCAUUAAAGCAGGGUAUUUGCCAUAUCAGCCAUCUAAGAUAGAGGUGAGAAGUGUCUGAUUUGAGACCAUUGUCAUUUGUUGUCAUUUCUUGUUUGGCUGUAACAAGAUUGAGACUAAAUUUUGUGUUAAGGCUGAAUAUCAUUUGCUUUGUAUUUGAAACCAGAAGAUUUUAUAAAACUCUGCAUUCACUUCUAAUUAUCCGAUUUUUCUUAAUUUUUUUUUU
Long non-coding RNA from Cryptomeria japonica (Japanese cedar), 2154 nucleotides. RefSeq lists it as uncharacterized. The record is from RefSeq and is a predicted model, not a curated record. Lineage: Eukaryota; Viridiplantae; Streptophyta; Pinopsida; Cupressales; Cupressaceae. The transcript is spliced from 2 exons.